UACGGGGGGUGCAAGCGUUGUCCGGAAUCAUUGGGCGUAAAGCGUUCGUAGGCGGUAAGAUAAGUCAGAUGUUAAAGCCCGGGGCUCAACUCCGGUUCGGCAUUUGAUACUAUCUAACUAGAAUGUGGUAGAGGUUAAGGGAAUUCCUGGUGUAGCGGUGAAAUGCGUAGAUAUCAGGAGGAACAUCGGUGGCGAAAGCGCUUAACUGGGCCAUUAUUGACGCUGAGGAACGAAAGCCGGGGGAGCAAAU
Molecule: ribosomal RNA, 250 nt
Filed under: uncultured prokaryote
Description: partial 16S ribosomal RNA
Rfam family: Bacterial small subunit ribosomal RNA
Source: RNAcentral